GCCGGAGUGGUGAAAUUGGUAGACACGCUAGCCUUAGGAGCUAGUGUCUGAAAAGACGUGUGGGUUCAAGUCCCUCCUCCGGUACCA
Molecule: transfer RNA, 87 nt
Filed under: bacterium
Lineage: Bacteria
Description: tRNA-Leu
Rfam family: tRNA
About the family: Transfer RNA (tRNA) molecules are approximately 80 nucleotides in length. Their secondary structure includes four short double-helical elements and three loops (D, anti-codon, and T loops).
Source: RNAcentral